GGAGGGUGCAAGCGUUAAUCGGAAUUACUGGGCGUAAAGCGUGCGUAGGCGGUUCGUUAAGUCUGCUGUGAAAGCCCCGGGCUCAACCUGGGAAUGGCAGUGGAUACUGGCGAGCUAGAGUGUGAUAGAGGAUGGUGGAAUUCCCGGUGUAGCGGUGAAAUGCGUAGAGAUCGGGAGGAACAUCAGUGGCGAAGGCGGCCAUCUGGAUCAACACUGACGCUGAGGCACGAAAGCGUGGGGAGCAAACAGGAUUAGAUACCCUGGUAGUCCACGCCCUAAACGAUGCGAACUGGAUGUUGGUCUCAACUCGGAGAUCAGUGUCGAAGCUAACGCGUUAAGUUCGCCGCCUGGGGAGUACGGUCGCAAGACUGAA
Molecule: ribosomal RNA, 373 nt
Filed under: uncultured bacterium
Lineage: Bacteria
Description: bacterial SSU rRNA
Rfam family: Bacterial small subunit ribosomal RNA
Source: RNAcentral